Molecule: ribosomal RNA, 253 nt
Filed under: uncultured bacterium
Lineage: Bacteria
Description: partial 16S ribosomal RNA
Rfam family: Bacterial small subunit ribosomal RNA
Source: RNAcentral
UACGUAGGGUGCGAGCGUUGUCCGGAAUUAUUGGGCGUAAAGAGCUCGUAGGCGGCUUGUCACGUCGGAUGUGAAAGCUCGGGGCUUAACUCCGAGUCUGCAUUCGAUACGGGCUAGCUAGAGUCUGAUAGGGGAGAUCGGAAUUCCUGGUGUAGCGGUGAAAUGCGCAGAUAUCAGGAGGAACACCGGUGGCGAAGGCGGAUCUCUGGAACGUUCCUGACACUGAGGCACGAAAGCGUGGGGAGCAAACAGG